GACGAACGCUGGCGGCGUGCCUAAUACAUGCAAGUCGAACGCUUCUUUCCUCCCGAGUGCUUGCACUCAAUUGGAAAGAGGAGUGGCGGACGGGUGAGUAACACGUGGGUAACCUACCCAUCAGAGGGGGAUAACACUUGGAAACAGGUGCUAAUACCGCAUAACAGUUUAUGCCGCAUGGCAUAAGAGUGAAAGGCGCUUUCGGGUGUCGCUGAUGGAUGGACCCGCGGUGCAUUAGCUAGUUGGUGAGGUAACGGCUCACCAAGGCCACGAUGCAUAGCCCAACUGAGGGGGGGAUAGGCCACACCGGGACUGAGACACGGGCCAAAAUCCUAAGGGAGGCAGCAGGAGGGAAUCUUCCGGAAUGGGCGAAAAGCUGACGGAGGAAAGGCGCGGGAGUGGAAAAGGUUUUCGGGACCGAAAACUCUGUUUUUAAGGAAAAACAAAUGUGUAAGUAAACAGACACGCCCUUAAGGUAAUUUAUCAAAAAACCCAGGCUAACUUCGUG
Molecule: ribosomal RNA, 508 nt
Filed under: uncultured bacterium
Lineage: Bacteria
Description: partial 16S ribosomal RNA
Rfam family: Bacterial small subunit ribosomal RNA
Source: RNAcentral